CAGAUGAGAAGCUUGCUUCUCUGAUGUUAGCGGCGGACGGGUGAGUAACACGUGGGUAACCUACCUAUAAGACUGGGAUAACUCCGGGAAACCGGGGCUAAUACCGGAUAAUAUAUUGAACCGCAUGGUUCAAUGUUGAAAGACGGUUUCGGCUGUCACUUAUAGAUGGACCCGCGCCGUAUUAGCUAGUUGGUAAGGUAACGGCUUACCAAGGCAACGAUACGUAGCCGACCUGAGAGGGUGAUCGGCCACACUGGAACUGAGACACGGUCCAGACUCCUACGGGAGGCAGCAGUAGGGAAUCUUCCGCAAUGGGCGAAAGCCUGACGGAGCAACGCCGCGUGAGUGAUGAAGGUCUUAGGAUCGUAAAACUCUGUUGUUAGGGAAGAACAAAUUUGUUAGUAACUGAACAAGUCUUGACGGUACCUAACCAGAAAGCCACGGCUAACUACGUGCCAGCAGCCGCGGUAAUACGUAGGUGGCAAGCGUUAUCCGGAAUUAUUGGGCGUAAAGCGCGCGUAGGCGGUUUCUUAAGUCUGAUGUGAAAGCCCACGGCUCAACCGUGGAGGGUCAUUGGAAACUGGGGAACUUGAGUGCAGAAGAGGAGAGUGGAAUUCCAUGUGUAGCGGUGAAAUGCGCAGAGAUAUGGAGGAACACCAGUGGCGAAGGCGGCUCUCUGGUCUGUAACUGACGCUGAUGUGCGAAAGCGUGGGGGAUCAAACAGGAUUAGAUACCCUGGUAGUCCACGCCGUAAACGAUGAGUGCUAAGUGUUACGGGGUUUCCGCCCCUUAGUGCUGCAGCUAACGCAUUAAGCACUCCGCCUGGGGAGUACGACCGCAAGGUUGAAACUCA
RNAcentral lists this ribosomal RNA (853 nucleotides) under Mammaliicoccus lentus. RNAcentral's name for it is "bacterial SSU rRNA". It matches the Rfam family "Bacterial small subunit ribosomal RNA", at positions 70 to 903 of the family's 1533-position model. Lineage: Bacteria; Bacillati; Bacillota; Bacilli; Caryophanales; Staphylococcaceae. The record is from RNAcentral.